Megalobrama amblycephala (Wuchang bream) is the source of this 675-nucleotide long non-coding RNA. RefSeq lists it as uncharacterized. NCBI's taxonomy places the organism in Eukaryota, Metazoa, Chordata, Actinopteri, Cypriniformes, Xenocyprididae. The record is from RefSeq and is a predicted model, not a curated record. The transcript is spliced from 2 exons.
AAGGUGAUCAUAAUGUUAUGCUUGAUCGGUGUAUAUACAGUAAAUAUAUAAUAUAAUGAUUAUGAGAGAAGAAUAAUGUGCAUUAAAAUAAUGUCCAAAAUUCUUUAAGCAAAAUAUUCAUAUUUCUUUUCCUUUGUUUUUGGUGUGAAAUAUGACCUGUGCAUUGGUCUAUAUGUGUUUCUGAUGAUGUGUUUUUCAUCCCCUCUGUUUUUAGCCUGAGGAUCUGCUCAGACUCUAAUAAACAUGAAUAAGUCGGAUGCUGCUUUCAAACAUACACCUCUGUUCAUUGGAGAAUUAAAAUGCAGUCUACACAGAUUGUUAGUGUGAAUGUUUAACUCUAGUGUACAGGCCAUAUUUUUCAGACUUGUUGGUCAAGCAUCACCAUCUGCUAUGGAGUGUGAGGUGUGUUUAGCACAGGGGUCUGAAAAACAGGCUGCUCACUCAUCCUGACAGCAGGGGGUGCCAAGAGGCAAAACAUGGUGAUGGACCACCUGAAAUCAAACCAAUACUCUCCUUGAGGAAGUCUCUGAAGUUGAGGUAAAAUAAAGUCAGAUAUGCAGUAAUAAGCAUCUGGUUCCACCGAACUUCCAUCUAAAUACAGUGACCCAGUCUACCCGGUCAAAACUUGGACACUUAAGUCAUAUUCCAAUGUCUGAAGUUCAUUUCAUUAUAAAA